This 146-nucleotide non-coding RNA is filed under the name Catenibacterium mitsuokai DSM 15897. RNAcentral's name for it is "glmS glucosamine-6-phosphate activated ribozyme". It matches the Rfam family "glmS glucosamine-6-phosphate activated ribozyme aptamer". From Rfam's summary of the family: This entry contains a glucosamine-6-phosphate activated ribozyme that is found in the mRNA for GlmS. GlmS is an enzyme that uses fructose-6-phosphate and glutamine to generate glucosamine-6-phosphate. The record is from RNAcentral. Lineage: Bacteria; Bacillati; Bacillota; Erysipelotrichia; Erysipelotrichales; Coprobacillaceae.
AUAUUAAAAAAAGCGCCAGGACUUGUAUAAGUUGACGAGGACUAGAUUAAUCGAACUAUUCGGCGGAUGGUCUAGAGGCAUAGUACUGCCUAAACGAUGAACAAAAACACUGAGCAAUCAGCCAACAGAUUUCAUCAGGUACUCCU